UGGAAGUAAAAGUCGUAACAAGGUCUCCGUUGGUGAACCAGCGGAGGGAUCAUUGCUGGAACGCGCUUCGGCGCACCCAGAAACCCUUUGUGAACUUAUACCUUACUGUUGCCUCGGCGCAGGCCGGCCCCCCCACCGGGGCCCCUCGGAGACGAGGAGCAGCCCGCCGGCGGCCAACCAAACUCUUGUUUCUUAGUGAAUCUCUGAGUAAAAAAACAUAAAUGAAUCAAAACUUUCAACAACGGAUCUCUUGGUUCUGGCAUCGAUGAAGAACGCAGCGAAAUGCGAUAAGUAAUGUGAAUUGCAGAAUUCAGUGAAUCAUCGAAUCUUUGAACGCACAUUGCGCCCUCUGGUAUUCCGGAGGGCAUGCCUGUUCGAGCGUCAUUUCAACCCUCAAGCCUGGCUUGGUGUUGGGGCACUGCUUCGAGAGGAGCAGGCCCUGAAAUCUAGUGGCGAGCUCGCCAGGACCCCGAGCGUAGUAGUUAUAUCUCGUUCUGGAAGGCCCUGGCGGUGCCCUGCCGUUAAACCCCCAACUUCUGAAAUUUUGACCUCGGAUCAGGUAGGAAUACCCGCUGAACUUAAGCAUAUCAAUAAGCGGAGGA
This 602-nucleotide ribosomal RNA is filed under the name fungal sp. ARIZ L42. Its description in RNAcentral is "eukaryotic LSU rRNA". The stretch from base 231 to 384 matches the Rfam family "5.8S ribosomal RNA". Lineage: Eukaryota; Fungi. The record is from RNAcentral.